This 468-nucleotide ribosomal RNA is filed under the name uncultured bacterium. Its description in RNAcentral is "partial 16S ribosomal RNA". It matches the Rfam family "Bacterial small subunit ribosomal RNA", at positions 28 to 507 of the family's 1533-position model. The record is from RNAcentral.
GACGAACGCUGGCGGCGUGCUUAACACAUGCAAGUCGAACGGAAAGGCCCUGCUUUUGUGGGGUGCUCGAGUGGCGAACGGGUGAGUAACACGUGAGUAACCUGCCCUUGACUUUGGGAUAACUUCAGGAAACUGGGGCUAAUACCGGAUAGGAGCUCCUGCUGCAUGGUGGGGGUUGGAAAGUUUCGGCGGUUGGGGAUGGACUCGCGGCUCAUCAGCUUGUUGGUGGGGUAGUGGCUUACCAAGGCUUUGACGGGUAGCCGGCCUGGGAGGGGGACCGGCCACAUUGGGACUGGGAUACGGCCAGGACUCCUACGGGAGGCAGCAGUGGGGAAUAUUGCCCAAUGGGCGGAAGCCUGAUGCAGCAACGCCGCGUGCGGGAUGACGGCCUUCGGGUUGUAAACCGCUUUCGCCUGUGACGAAGCGUGAGUGACGGUAAUGGGUAAAGAAGCACCGGCUAACUACGUG